Molecule: long non-coding RNA, 6458 nt
Organism: Micropterus salmoides (largemouth bass)
Lineage: Eukaryota; Metazoa; Chordata; Actinopteri; Centrarchiformes; Centrarchidae
Exons: 2
Source: RefSeq, a predicted model, not a curated record
AAAGUUAAUGAAAAACUACUUGCAGUUUAUACGACCAGAAGCACUCAAAGGAAUCGUGCCACCAGAUAGGCUGCUGCUCAGGUGGCAGAGCGGGUCGUCUAGUCAUUGGAGGGUUGCUCGUUCGAUUCCAGGCUCCCCAAGUCUGGUCGAAGUCUACUCGGGCAAGAACGCCAAACUGCUUCAGAUGGCUGUGUCAGUCAGUGUUUGUGUGUCAUUAUGAGCGCUUUGACGCACGUUGGCACCAAGUGAGUAGCAUUUAUCAUUCACCAUCAGAUAGAAGUAAUUUGGCACGUGCAAAGUUUGGGAACUGCACGACAAGGAUUAGAUCAUCUUCAACUUUGUCAAAACUACUUGGUUAGGCUUUGGAAAAGAUCACGGUUUAGGUUAAAAUAAGUAAGUUUCAUUAGUGAUGUAACUUAAUAUGAGUAAACGUUGACUUUUGGUUUCACACAGGACAUGAAUAGUGGUCUCCUGAGGGAAAGUCCUGUGCUGUUCAACCCAUCUGUGAGGCCACCCCUGAGAACAGCAGUCUGCAUCAACCUGUGCACUUUUAUUUUAAUUCACUGCGUGCUGCAAUAGUAUCGUAAAGCCAGUGUCAGCCCAUAAGUUUCGUUCUAUUCAUUGUGCUCAGGGAAAACUUAUAUACGGCCAUUUAUAGCAUAAAAAGGUUAUAAACUUUAAUUUGGCAGAAUACAGCCUAUUCCUGAGGGUGCUCCUCGAAGAAAGCAGCAGCACAGCAGUAAGCGAUAAAGCCCAAAUUGCUACACAGACCAGAACCCAGCAGACACAUCAGAGGACACACAAAAUGAACCCAGUUCUUAUUUACAGCAGCAGGCUGAGAGGGGAGCUGUCCCAGGAGCAAGGUUCACCAACGUAUUUACACCAGAGAGCUGCUCGACACUGGCUGCCUACUGUCAGCCACCGGAGCCGCCGGGGGAAACAGUGAAGUAUGUGCUUGGCUCAAGUUCACCUCAAUUCGAAGAAGAGAGGUUGUGUGUCACUCUCCUUUAGUGCUACAGAAACACAAAGGAACAAACCUGGAGUUAAGGCGUCCUGUCCUAGAGACAUCAGGGUGAUAAAAACUGAAUUACUGGAUGGAUAAAUAAACAGCAAACAAUAUGGGAUGCACAUCCACCAACGUGGAGAAACUGCUAACUCAGCGGAUCCAGUGUGAAAGUCAUUUUUCAUUGAGGAUGAUGAACAGGUGGAAUUACAGUAGGAAAAUUGGAUUCAACUCGACGAGACUUUCUGCAGGUGAGUAUAAAACUCUCCUCUGAGUGAUGUGAUCUGGGUAACAUUAAGCCUUUAAUUUAAACACCACGAAAAGAUGAGGGUGAAACAUAACAGCUCAGGUGCCUCCGUGAGGGAUACUCCUGAGACCUAGUAGAGAAAAUAGUUUAUACACAAGUGACACCAAGGCAUAGUAUAACAAGAAGAAUCAGUGCUAAAGCUGAUCAAUUAUCCGUCAAUGUACUGACAAAGCUGGGCUCAAUCAGCUUUUUCAAUAUGUCUUGGACUCUCUGAAUCAGAAUGAGCUUUGACAAGUAAUAUUUUACAGGUAAGAGGAAUUUUCUUUGGUGAUAUGGUGCUACACGUAGACAAACAUAUAGUGGACAUAAAUAAAUGAAGAAAAUGUGAAAUAAACCGAUGCAAGUUGUAUAAGAAUAAUGAAAGAAUGGAGAAAAAAUGACGUAAUAUAAGAGUAAAACUAGAUACCGCUGGAUGUCAUGGAUGAUUAUAACUUGACACACACACAGCCACGUGUGUCAUAAGCUAAAAUAAUUAAAGCAUCAGUAGAUACAGAGCUUCCCACUGAUGUAAUGAAAAAACAUCUAUAGGCCAACAAUGGCAUCGUCACUGUGGCAGCGAAGGGUGAGUCACCAUGUAAAAUAUAUGACACUGCACUUAUUGAAGCCUAUAGAUGCUGUUCAUACACAGAUAUGCAUGCAGCUAAAAAUCCACAAGGACAAACACUUUACACACUUUCACUCUCUGAGGAAAACUCUCCCUCUCUCUCUCGCACACACACUGAAUUACAGAAGGUCUAUUUUUGAAACAGACACACGCACACAUAACGUCCAAAUGAUUGGAGCUACUUACAGGUGUGAUAGGAUGAUAAAUCCACUCGUUUCUCUCCUCGCCUUUCUCCUUCCUCUUUCUCUGACUCUACCACUGGCAAGCCGCUAAACAGCGAUUCAAACCGGCAGAUAAGAAAAUCACAGCCUGUCAUACGACUUGAGAUCCACUCACAAUGUACUCCGGCAACACUACCUCUCUCUCUCUCUGCUUUUGUGUGUGCAUGUACCUAAGCCUUAUUCUCCCUCUCUCUCCCAUCCUCUGACCUCCUCCCGGUCUCCAUCUUUCUCAUCUUUCUUUAUCUCUCUUCUCACCCCCCCUCUCUCCCUCUCUCCCACCCACCCACCCACCCACCCACCCACAGGCCAGUCAGCAGCAGUAAGCUCCUCUCUACUUUUGCAAUGUUAGAGGAGUACAAAAAGCUGAGGAAAGAUGGAGCGAGGUGUGUUCUCUAAAGAUAGUGAUAUACGGCGCAUUUGAUGAUAAAGACAUCUGACAGCAGAGCUUACAUCCGGAGGCUGUUGCCCACAGAGAGCCUUGAAAUCAAAUGUGUGGUGUUUGUGUGGACGUGAAAGAUAGAAAGAGAGAGACCAGACACAUGGAAAGACAAUUAGAAAGGGUUAGAUGGAUAGAGAACCAACAGUAUGUCAUCCCCUGACGUUUGAGAGUGCCAGAACAGAAAGGCGUUGUGCAUCAAACUGCCAAAUCCGGUCAGAAUCUAAUCAUUUGUUGCAGACUGAUAGAUGGUUUUGGUAAAAAAAAAAAAGUUACCUAAAGUUUAUUGGAAAAGUUAUAAUAAACUACAAGUGUUUGUGGUUUGUGGAGACCUGUUAUAAUAUAAUCAACAAUCUUUCAUCAAAACUGACAAAUGCAAAAUGUUUCAGCGCUUUAUCAGACUCCUGAAUACAUGCGACAGGACAAAGGCUUAAUAGAUAGUUUUACAUUUAUUCCAAGUCUGUCUGCACAUACGUUUACUGGCCAAUAAAAUAAUAUCUUCUAACAGCUUUGAACUUAAAAAAAGUAGUUUUGUGCUUUUUUCUCUCUCUCCUCUCUCCUUUUAUUGCUUUCGGCAGCUGUUUCUGGCUCCGGAGCUGUGGGGUCUGGAUCUGUCGUUGCAAGCUUCCUGCCAAGUUCCUGCUCUACACAUCCUGCUAGAGUUAUUAUUAUUAGUCUUUAGUCUAUCUUUAUUAGUACUAUUAGUACUAAUAUUCAUUUUCUGUCUGUACCACACUACCACCUUUAAUAUUUUUGUUUCUGUGUGUGGAUAUUGUGUUGCAGAACCUGCAGCAAAAAUAUGAGCAAUUUAAGGAUGACAUGACAAACCAAAAUAACUGAUAAUGUAUUGAUGCUAAUUGUCACAGUAUACACUUCUGGAUUAUUCCUAUUCUUAUUACUUCCUCUCCAUUACAUUGACAAACCAAGCUGAUUUUGGAGUCAGUGAAGGCACUAAGCUCAUCCAAUAUUCCUACUAAUCCUCAGCUUGGUGACAUCAUAGUUUGUUAGCUAAAUCAUAGUUAUCUACAAAUCUACUCGCCAACAAAGCUAUAAAAACUUUCUGCUUUGAACUUACCUUAAAGAAAGUUGGCUAUGACAUGAAGAUGACCAUGUGAUUGGCUGUCUGCCUCAACAUUAACUCCAUAACUAGGAUAGGAGGUUGUGGGUCAACAUGCACAACUAUGUUUUCAACAUGUGUUUCCAACCAGUGGUUUCUGUGCUUUAAACACAAAGACUGAUCUGCUUUGAGGACAUGAAGGCUGCAGGGCUGACACAGCUGCAUUCACCUGUCAACAGUCAUCUCUCGCCACGUUUUAUCACGCAGAGCAGGCACACAGUGGGAGAGACAGACACAGAGAGAUGUGUGUCAAAGGCCACAACCAGAGGUGGCGUUUAACACUCUGCUGUUAGCGUUACUACACAGAGCUGUCAGUCAAACUGCACAGCAAACGACAACAUCGGCCUAGAGGGGAGGAGACAGAUCAGACAGUACGCUGUCGUAUACAGCAAAUAUACACCAACACCGACAAAGUCUGUGUCCAUCACUGUCUGUCUUUUCAUCUGAGAUUUGUCUCAGUUAAGAACAGUGGAUGACAUUCAAAACUGUUCAUAUUCUUGAGAUGCAAGUAUUUUUUUCAAAAUAUCAAUAUUAACCACAAUAACAUAUUGUUAAUCUGACAAUGUCAACAUAAACUGAACUUUUCCAAAACAGCAAUAUUAUUACAGUUACUAAUCCAAGUAACGCUGCUUUACUAAACACAUCGUCAUUGACGUAGAUGCGCGACUGUGCUGCAGGUCAGCGGCACCGGAUCUUAAGUUGUUCAAGUCAGCUGUUAGCCAAAAAGCUAAAGAAAGAAUGGAGAAUCAGGAAGAGAGGCGUUCUUUCCACAGCUGGACUGCCAUUAUUGUGUCACAGUCUAAGACGCACAGAACAUUGUGAUUUCAAUUCUAGAUUUAUUUAUUUAUUGAAGCAGCACAGCAUAGUGAAACUUACACAAAGAAACUCCGGCAGCUGCUGCCAGUGAUGCUUGGACGCGUCAGGAGAAAGAGGCAUUUAGCAACGGAACGUUUUGUAAAAUUACUGAAUACUGCUUUUCUAAAUACAUGUGCAGAAAAAAUGUAGUUCAAAAGUCAGGAUUUACCUGCUUUAAUGUUUUAUUUCCGCCGGUGGUGUAAAGAAGCGUUUUGUGUUUUGUAAAAACCACACUCCUUUAUGCUGUUAUAAUUAUUAGUUAAGAAGUCGUGCGACACUGUAAAGUAGCCUAAUAUUAUUACUUUUUUAAGGAGCAAUAAGGAACUAGUAACUUUAUUCACUUUCUGAGUAACUUGCCUAACACUGCCUAAAUGUUGUGGCCGAUUUGUUGUCUAAAAUGGCCAGGGGUGGUAUUUGCUGUUGCAAAUGAACCUUUUUGACAGCAGACAUGUCAUAUAAGGGAAAGCACAGGUAUAUUUAAUAAUAUCACUGAUGGCUGCAUUCCACUUAUGAAGGUCUGGGUUUUGUGCGUGCUGGCUGACUGGAGUAGCAUAAUGGGACAUGUAAUGGAGCUCAGGCAUUGUUAUUAAUUCCACCUGUGUUUUUCUUGAUAUGACGACUGGAAAUGUCUGCUGUCAAAAAGGUCUAUUAGUAGUAUAUAAAUCUCAUUUCUGGGAGAAGGAGUUAAUAAUGCUGGCUGAUCAGCAGACCUCCACUGUGAUUACAGAGGAGGCAUGUUACAUCCCUACCUAUAAGCCCUCACUACAAAGAAUCUCUAAGGAAUUAUUCACAUCAUUUUUGUCCAAUUACCGUUUCAGAGAUGCACGCACAAACCAGCGGAAAGACAGAGGCAUUUUGAAGUUCCUACGAUCUUCCGCUACAUGACACACUACAAAGCUUUAUCCUUACACAACCCUGCCGACCACCACACACCAAUUAUCUCCAGACAUUACAGUCUGGAACUGAAGCAGUCAAAGGAAGAAACUCCAUUAAACCACAGUGACAAGCAAUCAACUGAGAGCAUAUUUCAUGUUUUUCAAUCAUCAAUAUUUAAGUGUGCGUUUAAGUUGAGCUGUUUUUAUUAUUAUUAUUAUUAUUAUUUCGGAUGCUACAUGGCAAAGAGCAUAGCAAAGCAUCUACAGCUUUUUUCUUUUGAUUGAUUUUCGCUCAUGUUUUUUUAUGGAAACUUUGAAGUACUGAGAGAUUCAGUAUCUUUUUUUGUGUCAGCCAUUUCCUCCUCUUGAUUUGUACAGCCACCAGAAUUAAACUUGAAUUUGCUCUCUCUGUCUGUCUGUAUCCAAUUUAAUUUAAAUAUUGUUUAAAGAUUCCAAGAGGAAUUUCAGUUCAGCGUUAGUCUUUCACCUUGACUGUUUUUAUUUAUAUUUGCCUUUCUAACUCAGCUCAGGUCUCCUCUGUCACUGUCUAUAAUUCUCUCUACUGCAUCAUCUCCCACCCGUCUUUCUAAUUUAUCUGGUGAUGGCGAAGUGGAUAAUCGGGCACGUCCACCAAUGUGUCCCUGAGCAAGACAUUUAACCCCUCGUUGCUCCAGAGGCGUGCGACCUCUGACAUACUUAGUAAUUGUAAGUCGCUUUGGAUAAAAGCGUCAGCUAAAUGAAUAAAUGUAAAUGCAGUACUCUCUCUUUCACCAUCUGUCUCCUGCUGUAGUGGUUUUAUUGAGAUUAUAGGAUUAUUUAGGUUUAUGGGUUUACUUGUUUGGCUUACUUUACUGUAAGAAGUUGCGCUGCUCAUCACAAUGCAUAUUCAUUUUUUGUAAACAUCACAAUGUGAUCGAUCUCCACAGGUUUCAUUACAUGCCAUUAUGUCAUCAAAGUAUAUAUUCAUGUAAAGAGAGAGGACAAUGUAACAAUGAUUUGUAUCAUGCCCUGCUGCAUUUCUAAAAAUGUUAUACUAAGUG